This 467-nucleotide ribosomal RNA is filed under the name uncultured bacterium. Its description in RNAcentral is "partial 16S ribosomal RNA". It matches the Rfam family "Bacterial small subunit ribosomal RNA", at positions 28 to 507 of the family's 1533-position model. The record is from RNAcentral.
GACGAACGCUGGCGGCGUGCUUAACACAUGCAAGUCGAACGGAAAGGCUCCAGCUUGCUGGAGUCCUCGAGUGGCGAACGGGUGAGUAACACGUGGGUAAUCUGCCCUGCACUCUGGGAUAAGCCUGGGAAACUGGGUCUAAUACUGGAUAUGACCUUUCUCCUUAUGGGGUUUGGUGGAAAGUUUUUCGGUGUAGGAUGAGCCCGCGGCCUAUCAGCUUGUUGGUGGGGUGAUGGCCUACCAAGGCGACGACGGGUAGCCGGCCUGAGAGGGUGAUCGGCCACAUUGGGACUGAGAUACGGCCCAGACUCCUACGGGAGGCAGCAGUGGGGAAUAUUGCACAAUGGGCGGAAGCCUGAUGCAGCGACGCCGCGUGAGGGAUGACGGCCUUCGGGUUGUAAACCUCUUUCGGCAGGGACGAAGCGUAAGUGACGGUACCUGCAGAAGAAGCACCGGCUAACUAUGUG